GAUGAAGAACGUAGUGAAAUGCGAUAAGUAAUGCGAAUUGCAGAAUUCAGUGAGUCAUCGAAUCUUUGAACGCACAUUGCGCCCUGUGGUAUUCCGCAGGGCAUGCCUGUUCGAGCGUCAUUUCAACCCUCAAGCUCUGCUUGGUGUUGGGCCCUGCCCGCUGCGGCCGGCCCUAAAGACAGUGGCGGUGCCGCCUGGCCCUGAGCGUAGUACAUCUCUCGCUCCAGUGCCCGGUGGUAGCCUGCCAGAACCCCAACUCUCGUGGUUGACCUCGGAUCAGGUAGGGAUACCCGCUGAACUUAAGCAUAUCAAUAAGCGGAGA
This 322-nucleotide unclassified non-coding RNA is filed under the name soil metagenome. Its description in RNAcentral is "partial contains 5.8S ribosomal RNA, internal transcribed spacer 2, and large subunit ribosomal RNA". The stretch from base 1 to 120 matches the Rfam family "5.8S ribosomal RNA", at positions 35 to 154 of the family's 154-position model. The record is from RNAcentral.